RNAcentral lists this ribosomal RNA (468 nucleotides) under uncultured bacterium. Its description in RNAcentral is "partial 16S ribosomal RNA". It matches the Rfam family "Bacterial small subunit ribosomal RNA", at positions 28 to 507 of the family's 1533-position model. The record is from RNAcentral.
GACGAACGCUGGCGGCGUGCUUAACACAUGCAAGUCGAACGGAAAGGCCCUGCUUUUGUGGGGUGCUCGAGUGGCGAACGGGUGAGUAACACGUGAGUAACCUGCCCUUGACUUUGGGAUAACUUCAGGAAACUGGGGCUAAUACCGGAUAGGAGCUCCUGCUGCAUGGUGGGGGUUGGAAAGUUUCGGCGGUUGGGGAUGGACUCGCGGCUUAUCAGCUUGUUGGUGGGGUAGUGGCUUACCAAGGCUUUGACGGGUAGCCGGCCUGGGAGGGUGCCCGGCCACAGUGAGCCUCAGAUACGACACAGACUCCUACGGGAGGCAGGAGAGAGGAACAUUGAGCAAUGGGCGGAAGACAGAAGCAGCAACGCCGCGCGCGGGAUGACGGCCUUCGGGUUAUAACCCGCUUUCGCCUGUGAGGAAGCGUGAGUGACGGUAAUGGGUACAGAAGCACCGGAUAACUACGUG